GGGUCGUUAGCUCAGUUGGUAGAGCAGUUGGCUUUUAACCAAUUGGUCGAAGGUUCGAAUCCUUCACGGCCCACCA
RNAcentral lists this transfer RNA (76 nucleotides) under Shewanella sp. 10N.286.52.C2. Its description in RNAcentral is "tRNA-Lys". It matches the Rfam family "tRNA". From Rfam's summary of the family: Transfer RNA (tRNA) molecules are approximately 80 nucleotides in length. Their secondary structure includes four short double-helical elements and three loops (D, anti-codon, and T loops). The record is from RNAcentral. RNAcentral also lists the same sequence under 2 other names. Lineage: Bacteria; Pseudomonadati; Pseudomonadota; Gammaproteobacteria; Alteromonadales; Shewanellaceae.